This 292-nucleotide ribosomal RNA is filed under the name uncultured Alphaproteobacteria bacterium. RNAcentral describes it as "partial 16S ribosomal RNA". The record is from RNAcentral. Lineage: Bacteria; Pseudomonadati; Pseudomonadota; Alphaproteobacteria.
GGACUACUGGGGUAUCUAAUCCUGUUUGCUCCCCACGCUUUCGCGCCUCAGCGUCAGUAAUGGGCCAGUGAGUCGCCUUCGCCACUGGUGUUCUUCCGAAUAUCUACGAAUUUCACCUCUACACUCGGAGUUCCACUCACCUCUCCCAUACUCAAGAUGUCCAGUAUCAAAGGCAGUUCCAAGGUUGAGCCCUGGGCUUUCACCUCUGACUUAAACAUCCGCCUACGCGCCCUUUACGCCCAGUAAUUCCGAGCAACGCUAGCCCCCUUCGUAUUACCGCGGCGGCUGGCAC